Molecule: ribosomal RNA, 870 nt
Filed under: Escherichia coli
Lineage: Bacteria; Pseudomonadati; Pseudomonadota; Gammaproteobacteria; Enterobacterales; Enterobacteriaceae
Description: partial 23S ribosomal RNA
Rfam family: Bacterial large subunit ribosomal RNA
Source: RNAcentral
CGGGACACGUGGUAUCCUGUCUGAAUAUGGGGGGACCAUCCUCCAAGGCUAAAUACUCCUGACUGACCGAUAGUGAACCAGUACCGUGAGGGAAAGGCGAAAAGAACCCCGGCGAGGGGAGUGAAAAAGAACCUGAAACCGUGUACGUACAAGCAGUGGGAGCACGCUUAGGCGUGUGACUGCGUACCUUUUGUAUAAUGGGUCAGCGACUUAUAUUCUGUAGCAAGGUUAACCGAAUAGGGGAGCCGAAGGGAAACCGAGUCUUAACUGGGCGUUAAGUUGCAGGGUAUAGACCCGAAACCCGGUGAUCUAGCCAUGGGCAGGUUGAAGGUUGGGUAACACUAACUGGAGGACCGAACCGACUAAUGUUGAAAAAUUAGCGGAUGACUUGUGGCUGGGGGUGAAAGGCCAAUCAAACCGGGAGAUAGCUGGUUCUCCCCGAAAGCUAUUUAGGUAGCGCCUCGUGAAUUCAUCUCCGGGGGUAGAGCACUGUUUCGGCAAGGGGGUCAUCCCGACUUACCAACCCGAUGCAAACUGCGAAUACCGGAGAAUGUUAUCACGGGAGACACACGGCGGGUGCUAACGUCCGUCGUGAAGAGGGAAACAACCCAGACCGCCAGCUAAGGUCCCAAAGUCAUGGUUAAGUGGGAAACGAUGUGGGAAGGCCCAGACAGCCAGGAUGUUGGCUUAGAAGCAGCCAUCAUUUAAAGAAAGCGUAAUAGCUCACUGGUCGAGUCGGCCUGCGCGGAAGAUGUAACGGGGCUAAACCAUGCACCGAAGCUGCGGCAGCGACGCUGAUGCGUUGUUGGGUAGGGGAGCGUUCUGUAAGCCUGUGAAGGUGUGCUGUGAGGCAUGCUGGAGGUAUCAGAA